Molecule: long non-coding RNA, 372 nt
Filed under: Coffea arabica (coffee)
Lineage: Eukaryota; Viridiplantae; Streptophyta; Magnoliopsida; Gentianales; Rubiaceae
Description: long non-coding RNA (CARA_LNC004986)
Source: RNAcentral
UACCAUUUCAACUUAAAUCACACAUACAAAUUUUCAAGCCUAUUUAUUCAAUCACAAUCGAUCAUUUCCUAGUGUGUAUUUCUUCUAAAGAGUAAAUCGUACCCCAAACUCUGUUACUACUAAAUAUUAUGAAAAUCUCUUAUUUCACAGUCUUCUAUCCAAUUUCAUUCAAAUUCCUAAAAUUACUAAUAUUAUAAAUAUCAUUCAACAUACAUCUAGAUCGUAUAACCUAAACUUUGAUAACAUUAAAAAUCACAUGAAUCUCUUCUUUCCUUUAAUUCUCUUUUUCUUUUCAUCUCAUUUCAAUUCUCAAAACCCCUAAUACCUCAAAAAUCAUUUCACAUACUUCCGGACCAUAUAACCUAAACUCUG